CCUACGGGAGGCAGCAGUGAGGAAUAUUGGUCAAUGGACGCAAGUCUGAACCAGCCAUGCCGCGUGCAGGAAGACGGCUCUAUGAGUUGUAAACUGCUUUUGUACGAGGGUAAAUCCCGAUACGUGUAUCGGGUUGAAAGUAUCGUACGAAUAAGGAUCGGCUAACUCCGUGCCAGCAGCCGCGGUAAUACGGAGGAUUCAAGCGUUAUCCGGAUUUAGUGGGUUUAAAGGGUGCGUAGGCGGUUCGAUAAGUUAGAGGUGAAAGCCCGGGGCUCAACUCCGGCACUGCCUCUGAUACUGUCGGUCUAGAGUUUAGUUGCGGUAGGCGGAAUGUAUGGUGUAGCGGUGAAAUGCAUAGAUAUCACGCAGAACUCCGAUUGCGAAGGCAGCGUACCGGCGCCCAACUGACGCUGAAGCACGAAGGCGUGGGUAUCGAACAGGAUUAGAUACCCCUGUAGUC
This 460-nucleotide ribosomal RNA is filed under the name uncultured bacterium. Its description in RNAcentral is "partial 16S ribosomal RNA". It matches the Rfam family "Bacterial small subunit ribosomal RNA", at positions 338 to 795 of the family's 1533-position model. The record is from RNAcentral.